CCUACGGGGGGCAGCAGUGAGGAAUAUUGGUCAAUGGCCGUAAGGCUGAACCAGCCAAGUCGCGUGAAGGAAGAAGGAUCUAUGGUUUGUAAACUUCUUUUCUCAGGGACGAAGCAAGUGACGGUACCUGAGUAAUAAGCCACGGCUAACUACGUGCCAGCAGCCGCGGUAAUACGGAGGUGGCAAGCGUUAUCAGGAUUUACUGGGUGUAAAGGGCGUGUAGGCGGGACUGCAAGUUAGAUGUGAAAACCAUGGGCUCAACCUAUGGCCUGCAUUUGAAACUGUAGUUCGUGAGUACUGGAGAAGCAGACGGAAUGCGUAGUGUAGCGGUGAAAUGCAUAGAUAUUAGGAGGAACUCCAGUGGCGAAGGCGGUCUGCUGGACAGCAACUGACGCUGAGGCGCGAAAGCGUGGGGAGCAAACAGGAUUAGAUACCCGAGUAGUC
This 444-nucleotide ribosomal RNA is filed under the name uncultured bacterium. RNAcentral's name for it is "partial 16S ribosomal RNA". It matches the Rfam family "Bacterial small subunit ribosomal RNA", at positions 338 to 795 of the family's 1533-position model. The record is from RNAcentral.